Pelobates cultripes (western spadefoot toad) is the source of this 567-nucleotide non-coding RNA. NCBI's taxonomy places the organism in Eukaryota, Metazoa, Chordata, Amphibia, Anura, Pelobatidae. The record is from the annotation of a GenBank genome assembly.
AUAAAAAGGCAGUACAACAAAAAACAAGCCUGAUUAUUAAUGCAACAUGAAGUAUAGUUCUAUGUUAGGCUGAGGAUUCUAUGAGAAGAAAGCAUUUAUCCAUAAACGGGGAUUGUACCACUCAAGCACAUUUUUUUUGCAUUUUCAUAGGAGCAUUUGAAAAGUGUAAGGGACUUUUUAUAGAUUACAACAAAUUUUUAAAGGAUUACAACAAAUUCUGUUAAACAGGUGACUACCUCCAUGAUCUUUAGUCAUGGUUCAGAUCAGCAAGCAGCCACUGGGUCUUUCUUUUAUUUUUUAUUUUUUUCAAACCACUGACUCUUUGUAUGGCAAAGUUCUACAACAGCUGUUCUUGACUGGUCUUCAGCAUUCUCUUGUGUGCCCAUCCUUUUUGAUGUGACUCAACUUUGCGAGCUCCCUUAUCCCGCAAGUAAUGGAUCCUAGUGGACACUUUGGGGGGGGGGGGAAACGUUGAAGCUUACCAAUUUUUAAAUUUUUAGUUUGUGCGCUCCCUCCUUGGUUUUACCUACCAAGACUGCUGGGACUUGAGGAUUUUUAUUUUUUCUU